This 519-nucleotide long non-coding RNA is filed under the name Zonotrichia albicollis (white-throated sparrow). Its description in RNAcentral is "lncRNA (ENSZALG00000012683.1)". Lineage: Eukaryota; Metazoa; Chordata; Aves; Passeriformes; Passerellidae. The record is from RNAcentral.
GCAGUAUUUGGGUUGCCGGGAGGCAGUGGGGUGAGCGGCUCCCAACGUCACAAGCUUGCAAGAUGGCGCUGGGAGGAAGGCUGUGAGAUGAGGAACAGGCUGGUAUAAACCGAGAGGACAGGAGAGGGAGAGGAGGAGAGGGGAAAGGGAAGAAAAGCUGCUGCUCCAGAUGCAAUAAGAAGCGUCCCUGCUGGUUCUCCAUUCUGCAUCCGUGCAGCCACGUUCUAUUGAUGGCCUGUUGUGAUUUCAAUGGAACAUCAUGGGAUGUACCUGGCACGUCGGGCAGCACUGGAUGGAGGUGCCUUUAGCCCAAUGUACCUGGCAUGUACUGUUAACUCACUGUUCAGGUGCUUGGUGUCUAGCCUUCUCAUCCAGCCACAAAUCCUCUACGUGAAAUGAGUGAUUCCUUAGAUCUGUUUAUGAUUGAUUCUUUGCUUCACUGGUGUUGCUUCUUAAAAGGUAAACAAUAUUCAUGUGCUGCAAUCUAUAACUCAGAGAUGAAAUCAAAGAGCAUCUCCU